This 394-nucleotide ribosomal RNA is filed under the name uncultured bacterium. RNAcentral describes it as "bacterial SSU rRNA". It matches the Rfam family "Bacterial small subunit ribosomal RNA", at positions 29 to 423 of the family's 1533-position model. The record is from RNAcentral.
AACGAACGCUGGCGGCAUGCCUUACACAUGCAAGUCGAACGGCAGCACGGGAGCAAUCCUGGUGGCGAGUGGCGAACGGGUGAGUAAUAUAUCGGAACGUGCCCAGUCGUGGGGGAUAACGCAGCGAAAGCUGUGCUAAUACCGCAUACGAUCUCUGGAUGAAAGCGGGGGACUCGCAAGGGCCUCGCGCGAUUGGAGCGGCCGAUAUCAGAUAGCUAGUUGGCGGGGUAAAGGCCCACCAAGGCGACGAUCUGUAGCUGGUCUGAGAGGACGACCAGCCACACUGGAACUGAGACACGGUCCAGACUCCUACGGGAGGCAGCAGUGGGGAAUUUUGGACAAUGGGCGCAAGCCUGAUCCAGCAAUGCCGCGUGCAGGAUGAAGGCCUUCGGUU